GAAAUUACGCCUUCCAUGAAGCUGGAAUUGCUAGUAAUGGCAGGUCAGCAUACUGCCGUGAAUACGUUCCCGGGCCUUGUACACACCGCCCGUCACACCAUGAGAGUUGGAAAUACCCGAAGCCUGUGAGCUAACUUUUUAGAGGCAGCAGUCGAAGGUAGAGCCAAUGAUUGGGGUGAAGUCGUAACAAGGUAGC
Molecule: ribosomal RNA, 196 nt
Filed under: uncultured bacterium
Lineage: Bacteria
Description: partial 16S ribosomal RNA
Rfam family: Bacterial small subunit ribosomal RNA
Source: RNAcentral